RNAcentral lists this ribosomal RNA (119 nucleotides) under Triticum dicoccoides. Lineage: Eukaryota; Viridiplantae; Streptophyta; Magnoliopsida; Poales; Poaceae. The record is from RNAcentral.
GGAUGCGAUCAUACAAGCACUAAAGCACUGGAUCCCAUCACAACUCCGAAGUUAAGCGUGCCUGGGCGAGAGUAGUACUAGGAUGGGUGACCUCCUGGGAAGUCCUCGUGUUGCAUUCC